GAUGAACGCUGGCGGCGUGCCUAAUACAUGCAAGUCGAGCGAACGGACGAGAAGCUUGCUUCUCUGAUGUUAGCGGCGGACGGGUGAGUAACACGUGGAUAACCUACCUAUAAGACUGGGAUAACUUCGGGAAACCGGAGCUAAUACCGGAUGAUAUUUUGAACCGCAUGGUUCAAAAGUGAAAGACGGUCUUGCUGUCACUUAUAGAUGGAUCCGCGCUGCAUUAGCUAGUUGGUAAGGUAACGGCUUACCAAGGCAACGAUGCAUAGCCGACCUGAGAGGGUGAUCGGCCACCCGGGAACUGAGACACGGUCCAGACCCCUACGGGAGGCAGCAGUAGGGAAUCUUCCGCAAUGGGCGAAAGCCUGACGGAGCAACGCCGCGUGAGUGAUGAAGGUCUUCGGAUCGUAAAACUCUGUUAUUAGGGAAGAACAUAUGUGUAAGUAACUGUGCACAUCUUGACGGUACCUAAUCAGAAAGCCACGGCUAACUACG
Molecule: ribosomal RNA, 495 nt
Filed under: uncultured bacterium
Lineage: Bacteria
Description: partial 16S ribosomal RNA
Rfam family: Bacterial small subunit ribosomal RNA
Source: RNAcentral